GUCCAGCAGCGGCGGUAAUACGUAGGGAGCGAGCGUUGUCCGGAAUCAUUGGGCGUAAAGAGCAUGUAGGUGGAUCAAUUAGUCUGCUGUGAAAGUCGAAGGCUCAACCUUCGAAAGCCGGUGGAUACUGUUGAUCUAGAGUACGGAAGAGGCGAGUGGAAUUCCUGGUGUAGCGGUGGAAUGCGCAGAUAUCAGGAGGAACACCAAUAGCGAAGGCAGCUCGCUGGGACGUUACUGACACUGAGAUGCGAAAGCGUGGGAGCAAACAGGAUUAGAUACCCUGGUAGUCCACGCCCGUAAACGAUGGGUACUAGAUGUGGGAGGUGUCGACUCCUUCCGUAUCGUAGCUAACGCAC
Molecule: ribosomal RNA, 356 nt
Filed under: uncultured Conexibacter sp.
Lineage: Bacteria; Bacillati; Actinomycetota; Thermoleophilia; Solirubrobacterales; Conexibacteraceae
Description: bacterial SSU rRNA
Rfam family: Bacterial small subunit ribosomal RNA
Source: RNAcentral